UGGAGGCGGAGGCAGAGCAGUGGUAGGCGCUGAGUUUGACGUCACCGAUGGUAGGCGGAGACUGGGCGUGACUGGGCGCGACUUCCGGAAGAAGGGCGCGCCCGCUUGCCGGUAGGAAAGAGAGACGAGAGGUAAGAAGAAGAGGUUCCAGGGAAGAAAACUGAGAACUGAUUGAGAAGUAUGAAGAGGAUGGAGUGCAGAAGAUGGGGAGAAGCAUGUUCAGUCGAGUGUGAUAAUCCCUAUUGCCCAAAGUGUCAGGAGUUGAGUCGGAGUAACUGAAGCUGACAAGUCUGUUGAUGAUAGGUAAUCUGGAGGAGGAAAGCAGUAUCAAGAUACAAGUCUGAGAAAACUCAGGUCUCAAGAAAUUGUGCCAUCAAAGGGAGAAGAGAACUGUGGCAGCAAGUAAAAUCUUUUAUGAAGAUUGAUGGUGAAGGCUAAUUGAAAAUGCCAGUGUUGGAACCCCACCCCCCUCCUCCUUCCCAUUCAUCCUGAGCCCAAGAGAUCUCCAUAAAAUUGACCUGGAUGCCUUUCAUUCAAGUCGCUUCAGUCAUGUCCGACUCUGUGUGACCCCAGAGACGACAGCCCACCAGGCUCCCCCAUCCCUGGGAUUCUCCAGGCAAGAACACUGGAGUGGGUUGCCAUUUCCUUCUCCAAUGCAUGAAAGUGAAAAGUGAAAGUGAAGUUGCUCAGUCAUGUCCGACUCUUAGCGACCCCAUGGACUGCAGCCUACCAGGCUCCUCCGUCCAUGGGAUUUUCCAGGCUUGAGGAAGGAAGCUGCUGUAUUUUGAGAAAAGAGAAUCAUAUGGCUAGGACCUGACGGUGACCUCUAGGAGUGGAAAGCGAUUCCUUGCUGAUGGCAGCAGGAAAUCAAGGACAUCAGUCAUACGGUUGCAAGGUGAUAACUUCUGCCAGCAAUUACAGAGUUCUGAAGAGAACUACAAACCUCAUAUGUGACUACAACUGUGACUUACACCCAUAUUUCUAUAUUUCAACUUGGUGAGAUCCUGAACAGAGCAUCUGGCUAACCCAGACUCUGACCCACAGAAAACUGAGAGUCUAGGCUUCCCUUGUGGCUCAGCUGGUAAAGAAUCUGCCUGCAAUGCGGGAGACCUGCAUUCGAUCCCUGGAUUGGGAAGACCCCUUGAAGAAGGGAAAGGCUACCCAUGUUAGUAUUCUGGCCUGGAGAAUUCCAAUGGACUUUACAGUCCAUGGGGUUGCAAAGAGUUGGACAUGACUGAGCAACUUUCACUUUCAUUCUAGUUUACUAUGAAAUGAAACAUUCUGAAAUUAUUUUCACGUUCAGUUUAUCCUGAACUACUCUUUUGCUAUAUCAAUUUAUCUAGGGAAAGACAGUCUCAUUUGUGAGUUUUUUAAGUUCAAGUUAACUAUUGGUUUGCAUAAUCCCGUCUAGUCAAGGCUAUGGUUUUUCCUGUGGUCAUGUAUGGAUGUGAGAAUUGGACUGUGAAGAAGGCUGAGCACCGAAGAACUGAUGCUUUUGAACUGUGGUGUUGGAGAAGACUCUUGAGAGUCCCUUGGACUGCAAGGAGAUCCAACCAGUCCAUUCUGAAGGAGAUCAGCCCUGGGAUUUCUUUGGAGGGAAUUAUGCUGAAGCUGAAACUCCAGUACUUUGGCCACCUCAUGUGAAGAGUUGACUCAUUGGAAAAGACUCUGAUGCUGGGAGGGAUUGGGGGCGGGAGGAGAAGGGGACGACAGAGGAUGAGAUGGCUGGAUGGCAUCACUGACUCGAUGGAUGUGAGUCUGAGUGAACUCCGGGAGUUGGUGAUGGACAGGGAGGCCUGGCGUGCUGUAAUUCAUGGGGUUGCGAAGAGUCGGACACGACUGAGCGACUGAACUGAACUGAACCUCAUAUUUUUUGUAUGCUUAAGUUAAAAAAAUAAAAUAGAUUAUUUUUGUUAAGGAUAGUAGGCUACUGACUAGGUUUGCUCUGUGUUUGUGUGUGUGUGUGUGUGUGUGUGUGUGUGUGUGUAUUAGUGGUGUGUGUGUGUAUCAAGGAAACCAAGGGAAGAGCUUGGGUAUUUCCUCUAGACUUAUAAGAAGUAGGAUGCCUGACUUUCAGAAUAGUGGGAAAUAGAAUGUCUGUGUUAGCUGGAAUUCAUUAUGGAUGCAUUAAAGUCAGGAAAGAGGUCAAUUUAUAUGGAAUGACCAUUUCGCAUUAGUAAACUACAAAGUUAUUGAUUGCUACUGAUUCCAAGGGUAGUUGUGUGAUUAUGCUAAUAAAUUUGUAUCUACUGCUUACCUUAAGGUAAUUUACCG
This is a long non-coding RNA of Bos taurus (domestic cattle), 2274 nucleotides long. The record is from Ensembl. Lineage: Eukaryota; Metazoa; Chordata; Mammalia; Artiodactyla; Bovidae.